Long non-coding RNA from Carya illinoinensis, 962 nucleotides. RefSeq lists it as uncharacterized. The transcript is spliced from 2 exons. The record is from RefSeq and is a predicted model, not a curated record. NCBI's taxonomy places the organism in Eukaryota, Viridiplantae, Streptophyta, Magnoliopsida, Fagales, Juglandaceae.
UCUGUUUUGGGCCUAGCCCAUUCACUGCCACUAUAGCCCAGCCCGAGAACUCCACUUAACUAUACCUAUACGGUGCGUUUUAAGAAAAUUAGGUUUACACUUUCCUUCUCUCCUCAUUCGGUCCCGUGCGGCGUGCCUCUCCCUUCCCUCAUACCUGCGCCGACUCCCAAUCUCCCCUCUCUAGUCUCUUCUUCUUCUUCUUCCAUUCUUCUUCUUGAAUAUUCACUCUUCAGACUUCGGUUUCUUCCUCUCCUCACAGUCACCGUCGUGCCUCACUGCCCUGGUGCAUCUCGGUGGGUCUUCCACGCACAGCCCUCGUCGACGCCGUGAACCUCCCCUCACGCAGCCCCUCUCACGGACCCAUGGUUAACAUCAAGCCAAAGCAUAAGGCUGCACACAAUCAAAACAGAACAUAUGUUUUCAAGCCACCAAGUUUGCUGGUGGUAGGUGACAGUGCAGAAUCUACAUGAAAGGAAGAAGAGAUCUAAAUCAAUUCAAGAACUCCAUAGCCCACAUAGGCAAAAUAAAUAAAGCAUCAUAUUCCAGGGAUGCAUCCGCAUUCGAAGCACCAGAACGGAAGAAACUCAGGCAGUUCUUCAAUCUUGAAAAUCUCUAGCAUCACUCUUCAUCACAAGAAAGAAAUGGAAACAUCCAGAUUCCUAGGCUAGGGGAAAAUAUGAUGAUAUUAAUUUUAGGAACAUAAUUGAUGAUGUUAUUAGUCAAUCUCUAAAAGGUUCCAGCAUGUGUGUGGUGAAUUAUUCCUAAAAUAAAAUUUCUAAGGCAUUACACUUGUUAGGAAGGGUUAAGAGAAAUGGAGAGAAAAUGAAAGAGGAAUGAAGAGUUAUGCAGAGAGAGUCCGUCGGUGGAGUCAAAGAAAUCCAUAGAGGGUGCUAAAAAGAAGAGAAAAUGUGUUACUUUGGAAAAGUCAAAUUGAAACUGGAUCUGAUAAGAAAUUUGAGAUA